AUUGAACGCUGGCGGCAGGCCUAACACAUGCAAGUCGAACGGUAACAGGAAGCAGCUUGCUGCUUCGCUGACGAGUGGCGGACGGGUGAGUAAUGUCUGGGAAGCUGCCUGAUGGAGGGGGAUAACUACUGGAAACGGUAGCUAAUACCGCAUAAUGUCGCAAGACCAAAGAGGGGGACCUUCGGGCCUCUUGCCAUCGGAUGUGCCCAGAUGGGAUUAGCUUGUUGGUGGGGUAACGGCUCACCAAGGCGACGAUCCCUAGCUGGUCUGAGAGGAUGACCAGCCACACUGGAACUGAGACACGGUCCAGACUCCUACGGGAGGCAGCAGUGGGGAGUAUUGCACAAUGGGCGCAAGCCUGAUGCAGCCAUGCCGCGUGUAUGAAGAAGGCCUUCGGGUUGUAAAGUACUUUCAGCGGGGAGGAAGGGAGUAAAGUUAAUACCUUUGCUCAUUGACGUUACCCGCAGAAGAAGCACCGGCUAACUCCGUG
RNAcentral lists this ribosomal RNA (490 nucleotides) under uncultured bacterium. Its description in RNAcentral is "partial 16S ribosomal RNA". It matches the Rfam family "Bacterial small subunit ribosomal RNA", at positions 30 to 507 of the family's 1533-position model. The record is from RNAcentral.